CAAGUUGGGUCUCCUGGCCACUUGAUGGGAGGCUGUGGACAUCUGGCAUCUCCUCCAUCCCCCGGAGCUCUGGCUCAGGUGUACAGAUCUGGUUGAUGGAGCAACAGUGUCGGUGGCAUAUCCGUGGCUUCCUCUGAGGCAUUUGGCUUGGCAUCACCUGACGUUUUGAUUAAGAAAAAACUUUCACGAGGUGAAGUUAAUAGGGCACGUUUUGGAUGGAUGGCAGGCCUGGCUCAGCCAUGGAGCUCAAAACGCAUUUGUUGAAGGAACAAUAUCAAUA
Molecule: long non-coding RNA, 280 nt
Filed under: Gallus gallus (chicken)
Lineage: Eukaryota; Metazoa; Chordata; Aves; Galliformes; Phasianidae
Description: long non-coding RNA NONGGAT005278
Source: RNAcentral